RNAcentral lists this ribosomal RNA (253 nucleotides) under uncultured bacterium. RNAcentral's name for it is "partial 16S ribosomal RNA". It matches the Rfam family "Bacterial small subunit ribosomal RNA", at positions 524 to 776 of the family's 1533-position model. The record is from RNAcentral.
UACGUAGGCAGCAAGCGUUGUUCGGAAUUACUGGGCGUAAAGAGUGUGUAGGCGGUGCUCCAAGUCUGGUGUGAAAUCUCCCGGCUUAACUGGGAGGGUGCACUAGAAACUGGAAUGCUAGAGGAUGGGAGAGGUAAGCGGAAUUCCUGGUGUAGCGGUGAAAUGCGUAGAUAUCAGGAGGAACACCUGUGGUGUAGACAGCUUACUGGACCAUUUCUGACGCUGAGACACGAAAGCGUGGGUAGCAAACAGG